Molecule: non-coding RNA, 922 nt
Organism: Chrysemys picta bellii (western painted turtle)
Lineage: Eukaryota; Metazoa; Chordata; Testudines; Emydidae
Source: RefSeq, a predicted model, not a curated record
ACUCAAUCGUUGUGAGAAUAAUUUGAAUAAAUAAUCAAGUCUGCGGCUCAUCCAUCACCUUGACUGAUUUCUCUAUUCCCUGUUCACCUCUUCAUGACAUUUGGCAGGUCACUUGAUAUAAAAUAUGCAAACAGCAAUCUGAAAUAGCCCAAAUCUGCUGAAAUAAGCUGGCUGAACCUGUCUUCUUAAAGCAGCUAUGAAUCUUUUGUAUAUUGAGCAGAAAUAUUUGCUUAAGAAUUUCCUCUCAUGAGCUUAAUGUUGUUUUAGACUUGACUCUUUUCCUAUUUUUUCCAGAUCUGUAUAACAUUCAUAGAGCUUGCUACAUACAAACCAACGUUGACUGAACCAUAAUAUAUAAAACAUUACCUCUUAAAUCUCCCACUUCCUAGGAAGGAAGCUGCCAAUGAGAAAAUGGACAAGGGACUGAGAGAGAGAAGAGAAGGGAAAAUGAAAGAGUUUAAGAAAAAAGAGAAAUAGGGGGAAUCAAGUAAAAAUGAAAGAGAGAUAAUUGCAGCAAAUCUUGGACACUCCUAUGAUUCAUCAAAGCAUGCAAAGGCUCACAUGACCCCGGACUCCAUCUUGUGCCUGUAAUUUCCCACAAAUUAAGACCGAGAGCAGCCCCUCCACAUGGGUGAAAACAUAAAAGAUCCUGGAAGCAUAUCCAUUUUACCUCUUUCCUGCUCUGAUCUCUGGACUAGGGAUUUACACUAAAAGGAACGUUCCAACCAAUGGAUUGAGGACCUUCUAUCUAACUUUUGGCAGUUACUAGGAAUUUUACAAGCCAGCAAUUUAUUCCAAUCACUGCUACAAACUUGAUCCAAGAACUUUGCAAUGAUUGUAUGUAUAUGAUCCUUUCAACCAUGUUAACUCUCUCCUUAUUCUGUUCUCUUAUAAAUAAACCUUUGGAUAUUAGAUACUAAAA